GUGAGGAUGAGGGUGGGCAGUACUAUGUAGGGGGUAUGGGUGGAGGCUUAGAGGGGAGAGUUGGGGAGCAUUGAGCAGAUAUGGUGGCGGUUAGACUGACCACUGCCCUGAUAUGCGGGGCCUAUGACUAUGCUGUGAAUGUCGAUUGGAAUGGGGCACAGCUUGUUAAAUCUCUCCAAAAUGGUUUAGGACUCACCACUAUAGAGGCUAUGCAUUUAAUGAGAAUGAAAUGGUCCCAUGAUGUAAUCAACAAUCAUGACUCCUUUUCAUUACCACCGGCAUGGAAGUAGUGUGCAGCCAAUGGACUCUAGACAGGGCAGACCUUAUCAGGUUAUGAUGAAGCCCUGUAUGACAUUCCCUUGGCCUCUAUGCCCCCUAUUUUCUUACACAAUGAUUUAUGCUAUCCCGAUAUAUGCUACUAUCUA
This 425-nucleotide long non-coding RNA is filed under the name Androctonus crassicauda. Lineage: Eukaryota; Metazoa; Arthropoda; Arachnida; Scorpiones; Buthidae. The record is from RNAcentral.